Molecule: ribosomal RNA, 230 nt
Filed under: uncultured microorganism
Description: partial 16S ribosomal RNA
Rfam family: Bacterial small subunit ribosomal RNA
Source: RNAcentral
UACGUAGGUGGCAAGCGUUGUCCGGAUUUACUGGGUGUAAAGGGCGUGCAGCCGGAGAGACAAGUCAGAUGUGAAAUCCACGGGCUCAACCCGUGAACUGCAUUUGAAACUGUUUCCCUUGAGUGUCGGAGAGGUAAUCGGAAUUCCUUGUGUAGCGGUGAAAUGCGUAGAUAUAAGGAAGAACACCAGUGGCGAAGGCGGAUUACUGGACGAUAACUGACGGUGAGGCG